AUUGAACGCUGGCGGCAGGCCUAACACAUGCAAGUCGAACGGUAACAGCAAGAAGCUUGCUUCUUUGUUGACGAGUGGCGGCCGGGUGUGUAAUGUCUGGGAAACUGCCUGAUGGAGGGGGAUAACUACUGGAAACGGUAGCUAAUACCGCAUAACGUCGCAAGACUAAAAAGGGGGACCUUUGGGCCUCUUGCCAUCGGAUGUGCCCCGAUGGGAUUAGCUAGUAGGUGGGGUAACGGCUCACCUUGGCGACGAUCCCUUGCUGGUCUGAGAGGAUGACCCGCCACACUGGAACUUAGACACGGUCCAGACUCCUACGGGAGGCAGCAGUGGGGAAUAUUGCACAAUGGGCGCAAGCCUGAUGCAGCCAUUCCGCGUGGAAGGAGAAGGCCUUCCGGUUGUAAAGUACAUUCGGCGGGAGAGAAGGGAGUAAAGUUAAUACCUUUGCUCAUUGACGUUACCCGCAGAAGAAGCACCGGCUAACUCCGUG
Molecule: ribosomal RNA, 490 nt
Filed under: uncultured bacterium
Lineage: Bacteria
Description: partial 16S ribosomal RNA
Rfam family: Bacterial small subunit ribosomal RNA
Source: RNAcentral